UACGUAGGCAGCGAGCGUUGUUCGGAGUUACUGGGCGUAAAGGGUGUGUAGGCGGUUGCUUAAGUUUGGUGUGAAAUCUCCCGGCUCAACUGGGAGGGUGCGCCGAAUACUGAGUGACUCGAGUGCGGGAGAGGAGAGUGGAAUUCCUGGUGUAGCGGUGAAAUGCGUAGAUAUCAGGAGGAACACCGGUGGUGUAGACGGCUCUCUGGACCGUAACUGACGCUGAGACACGAAAAGCGUGGGUAGCAAACAGG
Molecule: ribosomal RNA, 254 nt
Filed under: uncultured bacterium
Lineage: Bacteria
Description: partial 16S ribosomal RNA
Rfam family: Bacterial small subunit ribosomal RNA
Source: RNAcentral